GUGCUCACUUCAGCAGCACAUGUACUAAAAUUGGAACAAUACAGAGGAUAUUAGCAUGGCCCCUGUGUAAGGAUGACAUGCAAAUUUGUGAAGCGUUCCAUAUUUUU
This is a small nuclear RNA of Cavia aperea (Brazilian guinea pig), 107 nucleotides long. The record is from Ensembl. Lineage: Eukaryota; Metazoa; Chordata; Mammalia; Rodentia; Caviidae.